CGCAUACUUGAUGGAACUAAAAAGCAUGUUCCUCACGUGUGUUAUUGUUUGUUUUGUAGGCCUGUCUAAUCUUUGGCUGAAAGGUGGACUUCAGGAGUGGCUUCAGUUCUGAUUUAGCAGGGUGUCCGGGUGCCAUAGUCUUGGAGAGGAUUUGCUUUUUGAUAAACAUUCACAAAGGAAAAUCAGAAUAAAUUUAAAGGACUGAUAGGAAAGUGUGGAGCUGAAACGCUUUAUCCAAAGAAAUGGCAAAGUUCUCUAGCCAGAGAGUAAGAAUCUGGACAGUGGCAAACUCUACAGUGAAAACCUUUGAAAAUGGAUACAGAUACUCUAGACACCCAGUCAAGGACUGAGGAAGGCUCUUGGAAAUCCAUGCCAUCAUUAGGAAAAAAUGCAUUUAUAUUCAUCAAAUGGUGGACAUGUAAUACCUGCUUUGCAUGGAAUAAAAUUCUACAAAUAAAGAAAAAUGAAGAAUAGUUUUGGCUUGUCCAGUGUCACAUGACCAGUCAGGAAAAGAGCCAGGACUUCCAACUCCCUGACCAAGUGAUAUGCUUCCACUGAAUCACACUGCUUUGCUCAGUGAUUGGCAUACGAUACAGGCUUACCCACUGAGCAACAUGACAUAAUGGAGGACAGAAGAACAGCCUAGACUUCAAGGACUGAAGACCAGAGUUGGGCAUAAGGAACUGGUACUCAGGGAAGAACCCAGCAGAAUCAUGUAUGAUCUGAAAAGUAGGCCCUAGCAGUGUGGUGGAAGGCCAGGAGCUGCAGAGAGGGACACAAGCAGCCCUAGACCUUUCUGAUGUGAUUUGGCAGGUUUCCAAAGUUGUCCUUGUGCUGAGAACUUCCUAGACCCAAAUAAAGAGCCGUAACAUGGCUCAAGGGCUAUAACACUGAAGACCAAGAGAGAUGGCUGUGGUGGGUGAGUCAGCCCACUGAGCAGGCAGCAAUGGAGGCAGUAACUGUGAUGGUACCUGAAGAAGCAGAGACAGCCGCAGAUGCAGACGGUGGCUGAGAGCUGAGAGAAGCUGAGAGAAGCAAUCAA
Long non-coding RNA from Trichechus manatus latirostris (Florida manatee), 1042 nucleotides. RefSeq lists it as uncharacterized. The record is from RefSeq and is a predicted model, not a curated record. The transcript has 4 exons. Lineage: Eukaryota; Metazoa; Chordata; Mammalia; Sirenia; Trichechidae.